AUCGAUAAUCCACGCUAACUUUCACUUAAAUUUAAAAUUUGCAUACCUCCAUCUUAAGAAUCAAUUUAAAAAUAUUUUCUCAAAAACUAAUAAAAAGUUAGGUCAAGGUACAAUCAACAUUAAAGAUCAGAUGAAUUACAUUAAACAAUAUUUAUAGACUAAAAAUAAAAUAUUUUUACAAAUUAGAAUUUAAAAGUAAUAUUAAAUUAAUAAUUCAAUAUGACAAGGAUAAUAAAUGUGCACACAUCGCCC
RNAcentral lists this ribosomal RNA (252 nucleotides) under Coelotinae sp. ZZ143. RNAcentral describes it as "partial 12S ribosomal RNA". The record is from RNAcentral. Lineage: Eukaryota; Metazoa; Arthropoda; Arachnida; Araneae; Agelenidae.